RNAcentral lists this ribosomal RNA (484 nucleotides) under uncultured bacterium. RNAcentral's name for it is "partial 16S ribosomal RNA". It matches the Rfam family "Bacterial small subunit ribosomal RNA", at positions 30 to 507 of the family's 1533-position model. The record is from RNAcentral.
AUUGAACGCUGGCGGUAGGCCUAACACAUGCAAGUCGAGCGGAUGAAGGGUGCUCGUCCCUGGAUUCAGCGGCGGACGGGCGAGUAAUGUCUAUGACUCUUCGCAGUAGCGUGGUCUCACGUGCGAAAACGGUCCCUACUACUGCAUACGUCCUGACGGAGAGAGUGAGGGAUCCUCGGACCUUACGCUUCCAGAUGAGACUAGGUCGGAUUAGCUAGUUGGUGGGGUAAAGGCCUACCAAGGCGACGAUCCGUAACUGGUCUGAGAGGAUGAUCAGUCACACUGGAACUGAGACACGGUCCAGACUCCUACGGGAGGCAGCAGUGGGGAAUAUUGGACAAUGGGCGAAAGCCUGAUCCAGCCAUGCCGCGUGUGUGAAGAAGGUCUUCGGAUUGUAAAGCACUUUAAGUUGGGAGGAAGGGCAGUAAGUUAAUACCUUGCUGUUUUGACGUUACCAACAGAAUAAGCACCGGCUAACUUCGUG